RNAcentral lists this ribosomal RNA (253 nucleotides) under uncultured bacterium. Its description in RNAcentral is "partial 16S ribosomal RNA". It matches the Rfam family "Bacterial small subunit ribosomal RNA", at positions 524 to 776 of the family's 1533-position model. The record is from RNAcentral.
UACGUAAGGUGCAAGCGUUGUCCGGAAUUAUUGGGCGUAAAGAGCUCGUAGGCGGUUUGUCGCGUCUGCUGUGAAAACUCGGGGCUUAACUCCGGGCCUGCAGUGGGUACGGGCAGACUAGAGUGCGGUAGGGGAGACUGGAAUUCCUGGUGUAGCGGUGAAAUGCGCAGAUAUCAGGAGGAACACCGGUGGCGAAGGCGGGUCUCUGGGCCGAUACUGACGCUGAGGCGCGAAAGCGUGGGGAGCGAACAGG